RNAcentral lists this transfer RNA (73 nucleotides) under Plutella xylostella (diamondback moth). RNAcentral describes it as "tRNA-Ser". Lineage: Eukaryota; Metazoa; Arthropoda; Insecta; Lepidoptera; Plutellidae. The record is from RNAcentral.
GACCGAAUGGCGCAGUGGUUAGUGACCCUGACUACUGAGUCGAUGGUCCCGGGUUCGAUUCCCGGCUGGGACA